RNAcentral lists this unclassified non-coding RNA (2788 nucleotides) under Acyrthosiphon pisum (pea aphid). Its description in RNAcentral is "uDP-N-acetylglucosamine--peptide N- acetylglucosaminyltransferase 110 kDa subunit-like, transcript variant X1". Lineage: Eukaryota; Metazoa; Arthropoda; Insecta; Hemiptera; Aphididae. The record is from RNAcentral.
CGUCACAAUGAUCGCGCACGAAUAAUUUGCGUUCGUCUUGAAGCUUACGUGAUAAGCUUACUAGCGCUUAUCCCAAGUCGAACGGUUCACAUACGGUAUCGUUAGCGUGAGCACUGUAAUCGCAAAAGCGUCCAAGACGAACGCACCCUUAUAGUCACACAAUUUUCCUUAUACUUGCUUGUUCAUUUCACUGGACUUAAAUACUUUAUAGCGGUCUGGAGUACUGGAAUCUGGAACCAUAGUCCGUUCUAAACUUCUGUGUCUGCAACUGCGACUGGAAUACCUAUAAAACAUUCUAUGCGGAGUGCUUUUAAGUUUUGACGCCAUCUGUGGAUCACCACCUCGUCGUUGUCGUAUUUUGAUUGACAACAGGCUUGGUCGAAAGUUUAUGUGGAUCAUAAUCUGCUGUCUUUAUUUGAAAAAUCGAUUGUCAAUAAUAUUUUAGACUAUGAAUUCGUUAUCAUUGGAAGUAUUUUGUCCAAAACAUUCCGACUCUGAAGCAUCAAUUUCAGUUAUCAUAGAGAUCUUAUUGGAAAAUAACUCUUUAAAAUUUAAAAAUAUAUCCCAUGAAUUUGGAAAAUUAGGUUUUACCAAAGUGAAAGAUUUGGCUCGAGCAACUCUUCAAAAAGUCAGCUCAGUUAAAUUUUCAGGAGAUACCCUGACGCAGCUUCAUGGAGCUAUGAAGAUAUAUGGUGAACGCCUAGAUGAGCUUCUAAACUCUGCGAUAUCAGAAUACCAAAAUGGGAAUUACAAAGAGACGCAAAAAAUAUGUAAAGAAUUACUUAGACAUAAACCAACGGAUUUAAAUGUUCUACUGCUUAAUGCUAGAUCAUUUUUCAACUGUGAAAAUUAUAAAAAAUGUAUCGACAGUUUAGAAAAAGCAAAAAAUAUUAAUCCGAAUUGUUUAGAAGUUUUAAGCACCUUUGCAUUAGUUUAUAAAAAAAAAUCUGAACAUUAUUUAGCAAAAGAAUACUUAUUUAAAGUAUGUAAUAUAAACCCUGAUUCAGUGGAUCCAUGGAUAGAUUAUGCCAAUUUUUUAUUUGAGACAAAUGACUUAAUUUCGGCUGAUUUGGCAUAUUUACGUAUUUUAAGCCUUCAACCCGAACUACAUAAAAUACGUAAUAAGUACGGAGAACUACUAUUAAAAUUAAACAAAAUAAAAAAGGCUAAAAAUCAAUUUAAGAUUGCCCACAAUAGUGCGAAAGAAUGUCCAGAAAUUUUAAACAAUUUAGCAGAUGUAUAUUAUAAGAGCGGUAAAUUUAAAAAAUCAAUUUUCAAAUAUAAACAACUUUUAGAAAUAAAUCCUCAUCUGGCAAAUGCUUGUUAUAUGUUGGGAAUGGCCCAUAAAAAUGUUACUGACUACCAAAAUGCAUCUAAUGCAUUUAAGAACGCAAUUGCAUUAGAACCCGAAAAUGUAUCUUAUUUAAGAGAGUUAGCAGUUACAUACUCUAUCUUAGAUAAUACGAGAUUGUCUGUCAAAACAUACAAAAAGUGUUUAAACCUCAAGCCUGAGGACUUUGAUUUAAAUUUAGAACUGGCUCUAGUGUAUUUGAAUAAAAUUCAAAAUUAUCAUGAAGCUGCAAUAUAUCUUGAAAAAUGUACAAAGUUAAAUCCGGAUAGAAUUGACCUGUAUGAAAAGAUUCUUACUGCAUACACAAAAUCUGACAAUUAUUUAAAUGCUUCUGAUGCUUGCAUGUCCAUGGGGGAUUUGUAUCUGGAACAGGAUGAUCAAGAAAAUGCAAGAAAUUCAUACUGUUGUGCGGUACUGAUGAACCCAGAGAAUGCAUAUGGUUAUUGGAGAAUGGGCCUAACCUUGCAUAAACUGGGACAUUCAGAUUUGGCUCUUAAAAAAUACGAACAUGCAAUAACAAUAAUGCCAAGCUUUCCCGAUGCCUAUUAUGAUAUGGGGGUAAUAUUUCAUGAACGUGGCCUUCUCGAAAAAGCCAAAGUAUAUUACCAACUAGCAAUCGAGCAUAGUCCAAACGGCCAUAUCAACGCUCGGUUGAAUUUGAAUGAUAUUUUAGAGGAACAGAUGAAAAUGAUGAGACAAUGAAAAGCAAUAGAAUAUGACAAUACACCUGUCAAGUAGAUUGAUAAUGUGGGCAUCACUGAAGCUUGAAUAGACAACACUGUCGUCAGCGUAUAGAGAAACUUGUGUGUUAGAUGUAGAUGUAAUUUGAUAUUCUACAUCUUCAAACGACAAUCUUUCAUCCUGGUUGAAUAACUUUGAACAUCAUAAUGAUUUGUCGCAAACCAAAUUUUUCGAUGCUGUUAAAGUUAUUAAUAGUGACAUACAUACAUUGGUUGACAUGAGUGGUUAUACAAAGGGUGCCCAAACUGAAAUAUUUGUUUUGAGACCGGCUCCAAUUCAAAUUUCGUGGAUUGGUUAUCUUAGUACCGGUGGUGCAAUAUUUAUGGAUUACUUCAUUACAGAUAAUAUAUGUUCUCCUCUAGAAAUUCAUAAUGUAUAUAGUAUAUACUGAAAAAUUGGCUUGUACAAAUCAUAUUAUUUUUGUUGUUGACAGAAGCUUUCUAAUUUACGACUACACUUAUGUAUCGAAGAUGAACUGGAAAGAUUAUCUUUCAACUUACCAAAAAAUAUUAAUGUUUUUUAUAAUUUUAAUUUUCAACAAAAUAACUAAAAUAGUAAAUCUUGGUUUUAAUAUGUAAAUUUUUCCAAAUUUGUACUUAAAUUUCUGUAAAAAUAACUGUGUUUAUAUAUUUUUAGAUUAUUUGGUUACAAUCUGAGAUUUGUUGUCUUAAAUUUUCAAACCUUAGCUUUAAAAAU